Molecule: ribosomal RNA, 484 nt
Filed under: uncultured bacterium
Lineage: Bacteria
Description: partial 16S ribosomal RNA
Rfam family: Bacterial small subunit ribosomal RNA
Source: RNAcentral
AUUGAACGCUGGCGGCAGGCCUAACACAUGCAAGUCGAGCGGAUGAAGGGAGCUUGCUCCUGGAUUCAGCGUCGGACGGGUGAGUAAUGCCUAGGAAUCUGCCUGGUAGUGGGGGAUAACGUCCGGAAACGGGCGCUAAUACCGCAUACGUCCUGCGGGAGAAAGUGGGGGAUCUUCGGACCUCACGCUCUCAGAUGAGCCUAGGUCGGAUUAGCUAGUUGGUGGGGUAAAGGCCUACCAAGGCGACGAUCCGUAACUGGUCUGAGAGGAUGAUCAGUCACACUGGAACUGAGACACGGUCCAGACUCCUACGGGAGGCAGCAGUGGGGAAUAUUGGACAAUGGGCGAAAGCCUGAUCCAGCCAUGCCGCGUGUGUGAAGAAGGUCUUCGGAUUGUAAAGCACUUUAAGUUGGGAGGAAGGGCAGUAAGUUAAUACCUUGCUGUUUUGACGUUACCAACAGAAUAAGCACCGGCUAACUUCGUG